CCUACGGGUGGCUGCAGUGGGGAAUAUUGCGCAAUGGUCGAAAGACUGACGCAGCGACGCCGCGUGGAGGAUGACGCCCUUCGGGGUGUAAACUCCUGUUGCUCGGGACGAACCUCCCCAUUCGUGGGGACUGACGGUACCGGGUGAGGAAGCACCGGCUAACUCUGUGCCAGCAGCCGCGGUAAUACAGAGGGUGCGAGCGUUGUCCGGAAUCACUGGGCGUAAGGGGCCGGCAUGCUGCUUGGGAAGCGAAAGCUCGGGGCGCAACCCCGGGUCUGCCGUGCGAACUGCCGAGCUGGAGCACGGUAGAGGCACAUGGAAUUCCGGGUGUAGCGGUGGAAUGCGUAGAGAUCCGGAAGAACACCGGUGGCGAAGGCGGUGUGCUGGGCCGUAGCUGACGCUGAGGCGCGACAGCGUGGGGAGCAAACAGGAUUAGAUACCCCUGUAGUC
This 450-nucleotide ribosomal RNA is filed under the name uncultured bacterium. RNAcentral's name for it is "partial 16S ribosomal RNA". It matches the Rfam family "Bacterial small subunit ribosomal RNA", at positions 338 to 795 of the family's 1533-position model. The record is from RNAcentral.